UGCCAAUGAUGGAUUUAAAUUGCACGUAUUAUCAGAAAAAACAUGAUGAUAAUGCAUAUAUUGUCACUACCUCUGAGGCA
Molecule: small nucleolar RNA, 80 nt
Organism: Erigeron canadensis
Lineage: Eukaryota; Viridiplantae; Streptophyta; Magnoliopsida; Asterales; Asteraceae
Product: small nucleolar RNA snoR122
Exons: 1
Source: RefSeq, a predicted model, not a curated record